UCGAGAAUCUUCGGCAAUGAGCGCAAGCUUGACCGAGCGACGCCGCGUGCGGGAUGAAGGCCUUCGGGUUGUAAACCGCUUUGGUCCGAAAGAAAGGGUAAAACUUGAUCGAUCGGAGAAACAAGGACGGGCUAAGUUCGUGCCAGCAGCCGCGGUAAGACGAACCGUCCAAACGUUAUUCGGAAUCACUGGGCUUAAAGGGCGCGUAGGCGGCCGAGCGGGUCGUGGGUGAAAUCCUCCAGCUUAACUGGAGAACUGCUUACGAUACCACUGCGGCUCGAGGAAGGAAGGGGUCAUGGGAACUGUCGGUGGAGCGGUGAAAUGCGUUGAUAUCGACAGGAACGCCUGUGGCGAAAGCGCAUGACUGGUCCUUUUCUGACGCUGAGGCGCGAAAGCCAGGGGAGCAAACGGGAUUAGAUACCCCGGUAGUCCCUGAGCGGGCUGGCAAGGCGCAU
RNAcentral lists this ribosomal RNA (455 nucleotides) under uncultured bacterium. RNAcentral's name for it is "bacterial SSU rRNA". It matches the Rfam family "Bacterial small subunit ribosomal RNA", at positions 355 to 825 of the family's 1533-position model. The record is from RNAcentral.